RNAcentral lists this ribosomal RNA (253 nucleotides) under uncultured bacterium. Its description in RNAcentral is "partial 16S ribosomal RNA". It matches the Rfam family "Bacterial small subunit ribosomal RNA", at positions 524 to 776 of the family's 1533-position model. The record is from RNAcentral.
UACGUAGGGUGCGAGCGUUGUCCGGAAUUAUUGGGCGUAAAGAGCUUGUAGGCGGUUUGUCGCGUCUGCUGUGAAAAUCCGGGGCUCAACUCCGGACUUGCAGUGGGUACGGGCAGACUAGAGUGUGGUAGGGGAGACUGGAAUUCCUGGUGUAGCGGUGAAAUGCGCAGAUAUCAGGAAGAACACCUAUGGCGAAGGCAGCUCUCUGGGACGGUACUGACGCUGAGACGCGAAAGCGUGGGGAGCGAACAGG